RNAcentral lists this non-coding RNA (26 nucleotides) under Mus musculus (house mouse). The record is from RNAcentral. Lineage: Eukaryota; Metazoa; Chordata; Mammalia; Rodentia; Muridae.
UAACAGUGCCUGUGAUAAGAGAGUUU